AUUGAACGCUGGCGGCAGGCUUAACACAUGCAAGUCGAGCGGGGAAAAGUAGCUUGCUACUUUACCUAGCGGCGGACGGGUGAGUAAUGCUUAGGAAUCUGCCUAUUAGUGGGGGACAACAUUUCGAAAGGAAUGCUAAUACCGCAUACGUCCUACGGGAGAAAGCAGGGGACCUUCGGGCCUUGCGCUAAUAGAUGAGCCUAAGUCGGAUUAGCUAGUUGGUGGGGUAAAGGCCUACCAAGGCGACGAUCUGUAGCGGGUCUGAGAGGAUGAUCCGCCACACUGGGACUGAGACACGGCCCAGACUCCUACGGGAGGCAGCAGUGGGGAAUAUUGGACAAUGGGGGCAACCCUGAUCCAGCCAUGCCGCGUGUGUGAAGAAGGCCUUUUGGUUGUAAAGCACUUUAAGCGAGGAGGAGGCUACUUAGAUUAAUACUCUGAGAUAGUGGACGUUACUCGCAGAAUAAGCACCGGCUAACUCUGUGCCAGCAGCCGCGGUAAUACAGAGGGUGCAAGCGUUAAUCGGAUUUACUGGGCGUAAAGCGUGCGUAGGUGGCCAAUUAAGUCAAAUGUGAAAUCCCCGAGCUUAACUUGGGAAUUGCAUUCGAUACUGGUUGGCUAGAGUAUGGGAGAGGAUGGUAGAAUUCCAGGUGUAGCGGUGAAAUGCGUAGAGAUCUGGAGGAAUACCGAUGGCGAAGGCAGCCAUCUGGCCUAAUACUACACU
RNAcentral lists this ribosomal RNA (724 nucleotides) under Raoultella sp. Its description in RNAcentral is "bacterial SSU rRNA". It matches the Rfam family "Bacterial small subunit ribosomal RNA", at positions 28 to 747 of the family's 1533-position model. Lineage: Bacteria; Pseudomonadati; Pseudomonadota; Gammaproteobacteria; Enterobacterales; Enterobacteriaceae. The record is from RNAcentral.